AAGUCGUAACAAGGUUUCCGUAGGUGAACCUGCGGAAGGAUCAUUAAUGAAUUAUGUCGCAAGACAAUUCUUUCAAACACUUGUGAAAUAUAUAUUUUGCUUUGGCUUUACGGCCAACAUUAAACACAUCAAGAAUUAAUUGUCUGAAACUGAAUAUAAAUUAUUCAAAACUUUCAACAACGGAUCUCUUGGUUCUCGCAUCGAUGAAGAACGCAGCGAAUUGCGAUAAGUAAUGUGAAUUGCAGAAUUUUGUGAAUCAUCGAAUCUUUGAACGCACAUUGCGCCCUCUGGUAUUCCAGGGGGCAUACCUGUUUGAGCGUCAUUUCAUUCUUAAAAUUUAUUUUAGUAUUGAGUUGUUUGUUGUCAAUAACUCGAAAUGAAAUUGCAGAAGCGACUCUAGCUUUCACAACGUAUUAGGUUUUACCAUCUCGUUGGCUACGGAGCUAGAGCAGCAUCGGCGUUAUAACCAAACUUAUAAGUUUGACCUCAAAUCAGGCAAGAUUACCCGCUGAACUUAAGCAUAUCAAUAAGCGGAGGAAAAGAAACCAACAGGGAUUGCCUUAGUAACGGCGAGUGAAGCGGCAAAAGCUCAAAUUUGAAAUCUGGCAUUCUGUGUCCGAGUUGUAAUUUGAAGAAGGUAACUUUGGGGUUGGCUCUUGCAUAUGUUCCUUGGAACAGGACGUCAUAGAGGGUGAGAAUCCCGUACAUGGUGAGAGAACCAACUCUUUGUAAAGUGCCUUCGAAGAGUCGAGUUGUUUGGGAAUGCAGCUCUAAGUGGGUGGUAAAUUCCAUCUAAAGCUAAAUAUUGGCGAGAGACCGAUAGCGAACAAGUACAGUGAUGGAAAGAUGAAAAGAACUUUGAAAAGAGAGUGAAAAAGUACGUGAAAUUGUUGAAAGGGAAGGGCUUGAAAUCAGACUUGGUAUUCAACGAACAGCUUUCUUUCGGGAAGGUGCACUCGUUGUUUACUGGGCCAACAUCGAUUUGGACGGCGGGAGAAUGGCAGUUGAAUGUGGCUUGAUUUAUCAAGUGUUAUAGCCUCUGUUGAUACCGCCAGACUGGAUCGAGGACUGCGCUUCGGCUAGGAUGUUGGCGUAAUGAUUUUAAGCCACC
RNAcentral lists this ribosomal RNA (1111 nucleotides) under uncultured fungus. RNAcentral describes it as "eukaryotic LSU rRNA". The stretch from base 482 to 1111 matches the Rfam family "Eukaryotic large subunit ribosomal RNA", at positions 1 to 649 of the family's 3401-position model. The record is from RNAcentral. Lineage: Eukaryota; Fungi.